RNAcentral lists this ribosomal RNA (270 nucleotides) under uncultured bacterium. Its description in RNAcentral is "partial 16S ribosomal RNA". It matches the Rfam family "Bacterial small subunit ribosomal RNA", at positions 524 to 795 of the family's 1533-position model. The record is from RNAcentral.
UACGUAGGGGGCUAGCGUUGUCCGGAAUCAUUGGGCGUAAAGAGCGUGUAGGCGGCCCGGUAAGUCCGCUGUGAAAGUCGGGGGCUCAACCCUCGAAUGCCGGUGGAUACUGUCGGGCUAGAGUGCGGAAGAGGCGAGUGGAAUUCCUGGUGUAGCGGUGAAAUGCGCAGAUAUCAGGAGGAACACCAAUUGCGAAGGCAGCUCGCUGGGACGUAACUGACGCUGAGACGCGAAAGCGUGGGGAGCAAACAGGAUUAGAAACCCGUAGUC